This 253-nucleotide ribosomal RNA is filed under the name uncultured bacterium. RNAcentral's name for it is "partial 16S ribosomal RNA". It matches the Rfam family "Bacterial small subunit ribosomal RNA", at positions 524 to 776 of the family's 1533-position model. The record is from RNAcentral.
UACGUAGGGUGCGAGCGUUAAUCGGAAUUACUGGGCGUAAAGCGUGCGCAGGCGGUUAUGUAAGACAGUUGUGAAAUCCCCGGGCUCAACCUGGGAAUUGCAUCUGUGACUGCAUAGCUAGAGUACGGUAGAGGGGGAUGGAAUUCCGCGUGUAGCAGUGAAAUGCGUAGAUAUGCGGAGGAACACUGAUGGCGAAGGCAAUCCCCUGGACCUGUACUGACGCUCAUGCACGAAAGCGUGGGGAGCAAACAGG